RNAcentral lists this ribosomal RNA (253 nucleotides) under uncultured bacterium. RNAcentral describes it as "partial 16S ribosomal RNA". It matches the Rfam family "Bacterial small subunit ribosomal RNA", at positions 524 to 776 of the family's 1533-position model. The record is from RNAcentral.
GACAGAGGAUGCAAGCGUUAUCCGGAAUGAUUGGGCGUAAAGCGUCUGUAGGUGGCUUUUCAAGUCCGCCGUCAAAUCCCAGGGCUCAACCCUGGACAGGCGGUGGAAACUACCAAGCUGGAGUACGGUAGGGGCAGAGGGAAUUUCCGGUGGAGCGGUGAAAUGCAUUGAGAUCGGAAAGAACACCAACGGUGAAAACAGGUUGCUGGGAGUGUGCUGACGCUGAGGCACGAAAGCCAGGGGAGCAAACGGG